GUAAAAUUGGUUUAUGCGUUAUAAAUUAUGCACUAAGGUUUUUAAAGAUGUCUUCCAAUGUUAAAUGGUCAGUGGAUGGUUUUGACUUUCGAAUUCGUGAGUUGGAACAGGAUGACAUACCAGAAGUCCGUGAUAUGAUCCUCGGCUGUUUGUAUGAAACACUUUUUAAUACAUUAAAGGCUUUAAUGUGGAAAAAUUGGCGAAUACAGAUUGUUCUGUCAGGAUUGUCCGUGUUGCUUCUCAAUUACAUUGGCUACGACGCACAGUAUAUAGCUGUUUUCGUCUCUGUUCAAAUAUUUCUGUUAGCUUUCACAAAUGCAGCAUCGUUUUACCGUUUUUUUGUACCGGGCGUUCAAGAACAGCGUUCAAGAAGAGAAUUGUCAACGCAGACAAGACGUACGCGAAGUUUUGGAUUUCCGAGGUUUUCAAAGAUGGUCAAUGGAAAAAAAUAGGAACAGCAGGGCUGCAUGAAGCAGAUCAAUUAGAAAGAUGUGGGUUUCCAAUUGGGACAGUAAUUACCUUGGGAAAAGUUUAUGUAUUAUCUGAUUGGAGAUCGAUGAAAAUAGGAACAAGAAUGGUGAAACACGCACUCGAUCAAGCUGCUUCGAUGAAGUAUAAAGCCGUUACUCUCCAAGUUAAUGAAACACAACCAGCCGCCCUGUCUUUAUAUAAAAAGAAGGGAUUUGGAAUAGUGAAUGUGAUAAAUACGGCAUGUUUUUCGCUGCUUCACGGGGUGGAUGUCUACGGCAUGGCAAGAAAACUUUCGUAAAACAAGAGUCAUUGUGAAGCGUCCUUACAUCGUUUGUAAUUUUCGACGUUAACAUUUUUGUUUUCUUCACGAUAAACUGCUCUCAGUAGUUAGGACGUUUAAAGAAUUAAAAAUUGUGUGUCUUCAAUAGCAAAAUGAUAUUGAACAAAUUCCUUUGUUGCGUGUAUAAAGUCUACACAG
This is a non-coding RNA of Styela clava, 949 nucleotides long. NCBI's taxonomy places the organism in Eukaryota, Metazoa, Chordata, Ascidiacea, Stolidobranchia, Styelidae. The record is from RefSeq and is a predicted model, not a curated record.